GACGGAGGGUGCUAGCGUUGUUCGGAAUCACUGGGCGUAAAGGGCGCGUAGGCGGCGCCGCAAGUCGGCUGUGAAAGCCCGGGGCCCAACCCCGGAGGUGCAGUCGAGACUGUGGUGCUGGAGGCCGGAAGAGGAGGGUGGAAUACCCAGUGUAGAGGUGAAAUUCGUAGAUAUUGGGUGGAACACCGGUGGCGAAAGCGGCUCUCUGGUCCGGUCCUGACGCUGAGGCGCGAAAGCGUGGGGAGCAAACAGG
RNAcentral lists this ribosomal RNA (253 nucleotides) under uncultured bacterium. Its description in RNAcentral is "partial 16S ribosomal RNA". It matches the Rfam family "Bacterial small subunit ribosomal RNA", at positions 524 to 776 of the family's 1533-position model. The record is from RNAcentral.